GAUGAACGCUGGCGGCGUGCCUAAUACAUGCAAGUCGAGCGAACAGACGAGGAGCUUGCUCCUCUGACGUUAGCGGCGGACGGGUGAGUAACACGUGGAUAACCUACCUAUAAGACUGGGAUAACUUCGGGAAACCGGAGCUAAUACCGGAUAAUAUAUUGAACCGCAUGGUUCAAUAGUGAAAGACGGUUUUGCUGUCACUUAUAGAUGGAUCCGCGCCGCAUUAGCUAGUUGGUAAGGUAACGGCUUACCAAGGCAACGAUGCGUAGCCGACCUGAGAGGGUGAUCGGCCACACUGGAGCUGAGACACGGUCCAGACUCCUACGGGAGGCAGCAGUAGGAAAUCUUCCGCAAUGGGCGAAAGCCUGACGGAGCAACGCCGCGUGAGUGAUGAAGGUCUUCGGAUCGUAAAACUCUGUUAUUAGGGAAGAACAAAUGUGUAAGUAACUAUGCACGUCUUGACGGUACCUAAUCAGAAAGCCACGGCUAACUACGUG
Molecule: ribosomal RNA, 497 nt
Filed under: uncultured bacterium
Lineage: Bacteria
Description: partial 16S ribosomal RNA
Rfam family: Bacterial small subunit ribosomal RNA
Source: RNAcentral